This 439-nucleotide ribosomal RNA is filed under the name uncultured bacterium. RNAcentral's name for it is "partial 16S ribosomal RNA". It matches the Rfam family "Bacterial small subunit ribosomal RNA", at positions 338 to 795 of the family's 1533-position model. The record is from RNAcentral.
CCUACGGGAGGCAGCAGUAGGGAAUAUUGCUCAAUGGGGGAAACCCUGAAGCAGCAACGCCGCGUGGAGGAUGAAGGUUUUCGGUUUGUAAACCCCUUUCGUCAGAGAAGAAAAUGACGGUAUCUAACUAAUAAGCCCCGGCUAACUCCGUUCCAGCAGCCGCGGUAUACGGAGGGGGCAAGGGUUACUCGGAAUCACUGGGCGUAAAGAGGGCGUAGGCGGGAGAGCAAGUCAGAUGUGAAAUCCUAUGGCUUAACCAUAGAACUGCAUUUGAAACUGUUAUUCUAGAGUUUGGGAGAGGUAGGUGGAAUUCUUGGUGUAGGGGUAAAAUCCGUAGAGAUCAAGAGGAAUACUCAUUGCGAAGGCGACCUGCUAGAACAUAACUGACGCUGAUGCGCGAAAGCGUGGGGAGCAAACAGGAUUAGAUACCCCUGUAGUC